ACUACGGGCGGCAGCAGUGAGGAAUAUUGGUCAAUGGGCGCGAGCCUGAACCAGCCAAGUAGCGUGAAGGAUGACUGCCCUACGGGUUGUAAACUUCUUUUAUAAAGGAAUAAAGUGAGGCACGUGUGCCUUAUUGUAUGUACUUUAUGAAUAAGGAUCGGCUAACUCCGUGCCAGCAGCCGCGGUAAUACGGAGGAUCCGAGCGUUAUCCGGAUUUAUUGGGUUUAAAGGGAGCGUAGAGGGGUUGUUAAGUUAGUUGUGAAAGUUUGCGGCUCAACCGUAGCAUUGCAGUUGAUACUGGAAGUCGUGAGUACAGUUGAGGUAGGCGGAAUUCGUGGUGUAGCGGUGAAAUGCUUAGAUAUCACGAAGAACUCCGAUUGCGAAGGCAGCUUACUAAACUGCCACUGACAUUGAUGCUCGAAAGUGUGGGUAUCAAACAGGAUUAGAUACCCGGGUAGUC
Molecule: ribosomal RNA, 460 nt
Filed under: uncultured bacterium
Lineage: Bacteria
Description: partial 16S ribosomal RNA
Rfam family: Bacterial small subunit ribosomal RNA
Source: RNAcentral